Molecule: long non-coding RNA, 5014 nt
Organism: Synchiropus splendidus (mandarinfish)
Lineage: Eukaryota; Metazoa; Chordata; Actinopteri; Syngnathiformes; Callionymidae
Exons: 3
Source: RefSeq, a predicted model, not a curated record
ACCCACUUGCGAGGCCCAUUUGCCGGGCCGCACCAGGUCCAGCUUCAGUGAGAGGACCAAGACUUCAGGCUGAGAGGCCGGGGAGGUCCAAACGAGCCUGUGACUCGGCCCUGGUCUGCGGCUCCGUGACCUCUGUUCUGGGAGCACGUGACCAUGAAAGUGUGGGAGCGAAUGAAGAAUGGAUCAAAGCCAACUCAUUCAUCAUCAUAACAAACAGGGCAAAAAUGAUCACGACGUUCGUCCUCUUGUGGAAUGUCACAGAGAAGAAACGACGGACCUAAACGGAUCGAACCACGUGCGUUAUAUUGGCGGGUGGUGGGCCGCCCUCGGCGCGCGCGAGCCCGUCCAGGACAAGAAUGAGGAGGCUGUGGGCCUGUCUCCACUGGGAGAGACGGUGGGAGCCCCGGGACGAAGGCAGCCAAGUCACCUGGACAUCAGUGUCGGAGCACCCUUUAUCUGAAUGGGCCUCAGAGUGCGCUGCUCUACCUGAGGGAGCCGGAGACAGGAUGAGGAGGGAGACGUGAGCGGGACGCGGCAGAAGGUCGGGCCACGUCAGGCGGGAAACAACGUGGCCAUGCUCCAUGUUGAGGAGACGUGUUCCAUGGAUCCAGCCUGCUCAGAAGGGUCCCGUGAAGUCCAAGUCCCUUGGAUCAUGACGGCAGUCUGGUUGAGUGCGUGACGACCCAGACGGCAGACGACUUCUGCUUCCUGAAGUGAGAGUCCGAUCUUGUUUUGGUUGGCAGGAGCUGCCAGCGACCUUCUCAAGCGCUUCAGUGGAACAUGGAACAUGUCACGUCCAGACGCAGAAACACCUGAAAUGUCCACAGGUGGAUCAGAUGAAGUGGUUCGGUGGUUCGGAUUCCGGUCUUUGACACCUCAGGUCUUCUCUGAGACCUCUCCCUCUGUGGCAUGAAGACGCCUCCGUGCCCAGGCCAAAAUCCUCAUCGCGUUGGGUGAAAGUCAAAAAUGGAGUGACUUUGAUGAGGGGAAAUAAAAAUAUACGGCGCAUGAAAAAACAACAUGACGUCAAAAGCUCAAGUAAAGUUGGGGAAAUAAAGACGGCGCGAGGGCGACUGGAGGUGAGAGGACCUGGAGAUGGAAGGAGCGAGCUUGAGCAGAAGGAGGGGGAGACGCUCUUCAUUUAUUGCUCCAGUGAAGAAGAACGUGGACGGACGGUUCUGAUGGUUCUGAUGCUGGAAACAAUAUGAAGGCAGAGAACAGGAAGGUGAGGACACGCGCACACACACACACACGCCACUGCUGGUGGCGCUGUGUGUCCUUGCUCUCUGCUUUGUUAGUCAGGGCAGCGGCUCAACCUGAUGUGUCAGCACUUUCUAUUGCUGGUGAUUAAUUUCGGGAGAUGGACGGAUCCUCACUGACAACGAUCCUCAGUGGACACACAGCAGGAGGGCGGUGGGAGGGGCCUGGCGUUUGCGUGAGGACUGAGAACUUCCUGUGAGAUUUCCAGGACAAAGCCCGGCUCCAGAGUGGGAGCUCUUGCGGAGCGAGGGCGUGUGGGCCCUGCACACGGAGCAGCGGCUCGCCCCAGCUCUGCUGGAGACGGAGCUGACGCAGGGAUGUUCCGCUCACGUGUGCGCACCAGACAAGUUGGUCCGUUCCAGGACGAGCUGUCUUGCACUCACCUGAGGCUCACCUUCCUGGUUCUACACCACUUCACUGCAGCUGAGCUUUGUACACUUGUGUGACUCACACAGUGCUGUCAUGCCUGUUUCAGGUUGAAAACGUGUCUCCAGUGAGACGUGUCGCCUCUGGAUUGAAACAUUCUGGGGGAAAAAUGAGUUGAAGCAAGUGAAAAGUGUUGCCGUCCCAGCAUGCGCUGAGCUUCCUCCUGGGCAAAUGUGAGGGUGAAUCCUUCGUGUGCUCAUGCCUGCUGUCUUGUGCUGUCUGGACCAGUGAGGCCUGACGCGCUGCUCACAAGAGAAGAUACGGGUUCGUUUCAUCCAGCUCCUGCUGCAUCGGCGCUUUGGUCUGUGAUGAUGCAGGCAACAAUUUAGCCCCCAAAAUAUUACUGUCAGAACCUGUGCUGGCGCCUUGCUAGCGCACGUCCACUGCUGUGUUUAUUCAUGACUUCAUGAGUCUUCUUCUGUUCCAAAUGAAUGAGUGACAACCGCGAUAUGAAUGAAGCGGGCAGCGGCGCGCGGGGACGACGUGGUGGCGAUGGUCCUGCGGAUGGUCCGGCUCCUGGUGCGCCGCUGCCGUCUCCACGCCUGCUGUUGGUCGCUCCAGUGCGCGUGUCAGGUGGCGGCCCGCAGCGGAGGACACGCGGAGGCUUCCUGGAGGCGCGCGUGCGCCCGUGCACGUGCACGCUCCCACCUUCCAAUCCAUCACAGCCGCUCCGGAUCGGCCCGGUUCCGCCGAAUGGUUUAAUUGUUCAUGCUAAUUGCUAUUUAUUGGCUGCGAUGCAAACGAGGGGCCGGCCAAAGUGAAAUUUUACGAGGAGAGAACUCCCACUCUCACACAAAUUGAAAAAGUGAAACUGGAGGAAGAGAGGAAAUGAGGCGAGGAGAGAGGAGCUUAAUGGCGGCUCUUUAAUGGCAGAGAGCAAAAAUUAAGACUGAUUUAAGGCGCGCUGCUGCUAAAUCUGCCCCAAAUCCCCCAGAUCCCCCGGAGAGAGAGAGACGCCCACUUGGCACCAAAGGAGAAACCAGGAGAUCAUUUCGUGCUCAGGCUUGUUGUGGCGGCGGGCGAAAAACGACCCUGACUUUCUGCAGGACUUCUGCUCUCUUCUGAGGGGGAAAUGGACGCAGAGCAGAGGCCAGGUCAGGACCACGUCAGGGUGGAGCCGCCGCUGAGAAGAAGCUGAGGAGCUGCGCCUCCUCUCCUGGACCAGACCUGGGUGCCCGAGAGACGCCGGCGAGGCCCAGGUGGGACCACCUCCUCGCACCCCUGAGGCCCGGGAAUACACCUUGUCUUCAUGCAGUCUCCACCAAAGCUGUGUGUGUGUGUGUGUGUGAGAGAGUGUGUGUGAGUGUGUGUGAGUGUGUGAGUGUGAGUGAGUGAGUGUGUGUGAGUGUGUGUGUGAGUGUGUGUGUGUGUGAGUGUGUGUGAGUGUGUGUGAGUGUGUGUGUGUGAGUGUGUGUGUGUGUGUGAGUGUGUGUGUCUGUGUGAGUGUGAGUGUGUGUGUCUGUGUGAGUGGGUGUGUGUGAGUGUGUGUGUGUGUGUGAGUGUGAGUGAGUGUGUGUGUCUGUGUGAGUGUGUGUGUCUGUGUGAGUGGGUGUGUGUGAGUGUGUGUGUGUGUGUGAGUGUGAGUGAGUGUGUGUGUCUGUGUGAGUGUGUGUGUCUGUGUGAGUGUGAGUGUGUGUGUCUGUGUGAGUGUGUGUGUGUCUGUCUGUGUGUGUGUGAGAGAGUGUGUGAGUGUGUGUGAGUGUGUGUGAGUGUGUGUGUGAGUGAGUGUGUGUGAGUGUGUGUGAGUGUGUGAGUGUGAGUGAGUGAGUGUGUGUGAGUGUGUGUGUGAGUGUGUGUGUGUGUGGAGUGUGUGUGAGUGUGUGUGAGUGUGUGAGUGUGAGUGAGUGAGUGUGUGUGAGUGUGUGUGUGUGUGAGAGUGUGAGUGUGUGUGUCUGUGUGAGUGGGUGUGUGUGAGUGUGUGUGUGUGUGUGAGUGUGAGUGAGUGUGUGUGUCUGUGUGAGUGUGUGUGUCUGUGUGAGUGGGUGUGUGUGAGUGUGUGUGUGUGUGUGAGUGUGAGUGAGUGUGUGUGUCUGUGUGAGUGUGUGUGUGUGAGUGUGUGAGUGAGUGUGUGUGUGAGUGAGUGUGUGUGAGUGUGUGUGUGUGUGUGUGUGUGAGUGAGUGUGUGUGAGUGUGAGUGUGUGUGUCUGUGUGAGUGUGUGUGUGUCUGUCUGUGUGUGUGUGUGUGUGUGAGUGUGUGAGUGAGUGUGUGUGUGAGUGAGUGUGUGUGAGUGUGUGUGUGUGUGUGUGUGAGUGUGUGUGAGUGUGUGUGUGUGUGUACGCGUGUCCCACCGUGUCAUUUGUUUUGCAUCCGUCCAUCACUGGACUGGUCCUCCUCCAUCUCUCGCUUCACCACUCCCUGUGAUUGAAGCUUCCUCUCCCCACCUCUCAGGUGUGACCCCCCCCCACAGUGACGCCCUCCUCACCAUCCCCUGCCAGUUAAAGUCCGUCCUCCUGCCCGUGUGUGUUAGAGAGACGCGUGGGGGUUUAAUAUAGUUAGGCUGAUUUCACAGUCCAUUGACAAGUUUGUGCUGACCUCUGACCCCAUAUCCAGCGAUGCGGGUGCUGAUAUGGCUGCAGGCCGGUGAGUGAGGUUCCAGAGACGGAAGUGGUUGGAUGAGUGUUCCAUGUGGAAUGAGGCUGCACAGGAGAGGCUGAUGGAGCCUCAGCUCCUCCCCCCCGGACAACACGCGCCUCACGUAUGGAUGACAGGGCUCCCUAAAUUGUCCUUCACACGACUCUCCUGCAUAUCGACUGCGCGUCUCUCGUCUCAGGACGGAGUUAUUGUCAUAUUGUUUCUCAACGCAACACAAUUGAAACGGGGACAGUUGUUCAAUCGCUCCACUUGCGUCAUCGAUUCCCAAUAAGGCCUUUCUUCAUCUGGUGGCCGGAGGAGCAGACACCGUCCUGUCAUGCAGCGCGUGACUCACACACUCACACAGGUUUGGCUCUCCAUCCUAGUGGGGACCUCUCAUGGCCGACGCCCCUUCCUCAGACUACAGUUAUUUCACCCUCACAUUGAGGCUUAACCUUGUGGGGUCCUGACCAAAGGUCUCCACAGGGAGGUGGUGUCCCCCAAACUGGCGCUCACUGGGACAGACAUGCUGAAACACACACACACACACACACACACACACAGACGUUGCUCAGUGUGUGUGUGUGUGUGGAUCGAACACCAUGAGAGCGACGGCUGAUGACAAGUUCAUGACACGGUUCCAUCAAGUUGAGACGAACCUGAGACUUGAAACCAAGUGGGUCCAAGUCUGAUGUGCCAAGAUAAACUUUACUGUUCUGGACCCCAGAGAGAGAGGUAGAGAGAGGAGGGAGAGAA